UACGGAGGGUGCAAACGUUGCUCGGAAUCAUUGGGCGUAAAGCGCGCGUAGGCGGCCUGAUAAGUCGGAUGUGAAAGCCCUCGGCUUAACCGAGGAAGUGCAUUCGAAACUGUCAGGCUUGAGUAUGGGAGAGGAUUGCGGAAUUCCCGGUGUAGAGGUGAAAUUCGUAGAUAUCGGGAGGAACACCAGAGGCGAAGGCGGCAAUCUGGACCAAUACUGACGCUGAGGUGCGAAAGCGUGGGGAGCAAACAGG
RNAcentral lists this ribosomal RNA (253 nucleotides) under uncultured bacterium. RNAcentral's name for it is "partial 16S ribosomal RNA". It matches the Rfam family "Bacterial small subunit ribosomal RNA", at positions 524 to 776 of the family's 1533-position model. The record is from RNAcentral.